Molecule: non-coding RNA, 119 nt
Organism: Ricinus communis (castor bean)
Lineage: Eukaryota; Viridiplantae; Streptophyta; Magnoliopsida; Malpighiales; Euphorbiaceae
Source: Rfam
GUGUGCGAUCAUACCAGCACUAAUGCACCGGAUCCCAUCAGAACUCCAAAGCUAAACGUGCUUGGGCGAGAGUAGUACUAAGAUGGGUGACCUCUUGGGAAGUCCUCGUGUUGCACCCC